GGAGGGUGCAAACGUUGCUCGGAUUUACUGGGCGUAAAGCGCAUGCAGGCGGGUCUGCAAAGUUUCGAGUGAAAGCCCUGGGGCUCAACCCAGGAAGUGCACGGAAAACUCGCAGACUAGAGUACUGGAGAAGUGGGCGGAAUUCCCGGUGUAGAGGUGAAAUUCGUAGAUAUCGGGAGGAACACCAGCAGCGAAGGCGGCUCACUUGACAGAUACUGACGCUCAGAUGCGAAAGCGUGGGGAGCAAACAGGAUUAGAUACCCUGGUAGUCCACGCCGUAAACGAUGGGCACUAGGUGUCGGGGGCUUGACCCCUUCGGCGCCGCCGCUAACGCAUUAAGUGCCCCGCCUGGGGACUACGGUCGCAAGACUA
RNAcentral lists this ribosomal RNA (372 nucleotides) under uncultured organism. Its description in RNAcentral is "partial 16S ribosomal RNA". It matches the Rfam family "Bacterial small subunit ribosomal RNA", at positions 527 to 896 of the family's 1533-position model. The record is from RNAcentral.